Molecule: ribosomal RNA, 115 nt
Filed under: Danio rerio (zebrafish)
Lineage: Eukaryota; Metazoa; Chordata; Actinopteri; Cypriniformes; Danionidae
Source: RNAcentral
GCCGGCAGCUAGCUCUCUGCAACUCUCACAUGGUCGCCCACUGAAGCUAAGCAGGGCUGCGCCUGGUCAGUACCUGGAUGGGAGACCACAUGGGAAAGCUAUGUUGCUGUUGGAA